Molecule: ribosomal RNA, 494 nt
Filed under: uncultured bacterium
Lineage: Bacteria
Description: partial 16S ribosomal RNA
Rfam family: Bacterial small subunit ribosomal RNA
Source: RNAcentral
GACGAACGCUGGCGGCGUGCUUAACACAUACAAGUCGAACGGAAAGGCCUGCUUUCCCUUGUGGAUUGCGGGUACUCGAGUGGCGAACGGGUGAGUAACACGUGAGUGAUCUGCCCCCAACUUGGGUAUAAGCCUGGGAAACUGGGUCUAAUUCCCGAUAGGACUGCAGGGUGGUGCCUGUGGUGGAAAACGAUUUUCUAGUGGUUGGGGAUGAGCCCGCGGCCUAUCAGCUUGUUGGUGGGGUAAUGGCCUACCAAGGCGGCGACGGGUAGCCGGCCUGAGAGGGUGGACGGCCACAUUGGGACUGAGAUACGGCCCAGACUCCUACGGGAGGCAGGAGUGGGGAAUAAUGCACCAUGGGCGGAAGCCUGAUGCAGCGACGCCGCGUGGGGGAUGACGGCCUUCGGGUUGUAAACUCCUUUCGACCGCGAGGAAGCCACCUGGUUGGAAGGGUGGUGACGGUAGUGGUAGAAGAAGCACCGGCUAACUACGUG